GUGAUAGUGUAUUCUUUGUUAUACUAAUUGCACACGCUUUUCUUUACAGUGCUAGCAAACAUUACCAUCUAGCCAUGCAUGUGAUCGGGAGAAUGACUCAAGCCCGAACCAUGCAUGAGCUUGAUGAUGUCUUCAUUAGCGCAGCUGUCGUCUUCUCCAGCCCUUGCAGUGCAGUGAAUGUUGAAAAACAUUUUCAAAACCUGCAGGUCCAUCUGCAGGGGAUAGACCUAGCCAUAGAAGAGGCCAAGAUUGAGGAGGAAGAAUUUGGGAGUGAAUUGGUGCAAUCGCCAUUUCUUCUGCAUUUCCAAAAUUUGCUAAGAAAUGCAAAUGGACAGAGAUGGUGACCCAAAUCUGUAUCGAUGCCCAAGCAUUAUUCCCACUCUUCUGCAGAAUCUCCUCCCUCAAGCUCCUUUGUGGACUGGCCUCCUCCUGGGUUAGUCUGUAGUAAACACAGCCUGUUCCCAAUUAAAGUCCAAAACCUUUUAUUCUAGCUCUGUGGUGUCCUCUACAUAAAUUCCAAUGCAUAAAUUGGGGUUAUUGUCCCAUAAAUUCAUUUCUUUCCCACCUACCCUAUCCUCAGGUGACCUGGGACGCCAUGGGAAAGGGACAGUUUAUUUGCAGCUGUCGAAUAAAUUUGAGAAAGCAGCAAGUACAGCGAAACAGGUAUAAUAUCAGAUCAAAGUUGAUAAAAAUGUCAUCAUGUUGCUCAUAUAGGCAUGUUCCUUAUGAAAUACUGUAAUAUUAUUGAACAUGCCACAAGCACAACCACUGCUCCAGUGCUCCCUUUGAGCUGCACUGUGGCUGCCCACUGCUUUGGGUGAGCCAGUGUGUCCUUAAUAAUGUCACACCUCCGAGUGUGUGUGUUCCAGAAAGGGUGGAAAGCAGAGAAAGCCUCCCCCCCACACCCCUCUUCUUAAUUUAUUCCUAGUCCUCAUUUAGUGUGGGUGCAUUGAUUUGAUGAAAGGGGCGAACAUACUAAUUAUUGACCAAAAUGUUUCAAUUGGGCACAAUUUCUAUGUGUCAAUCCAGAACUACACACAGGACAACAGGACCCAAGGGAUCAUGGAGAAGAGCCAGUGGGACUUGAAGAAAGUCAGGCUCCAGGGCAGGCGCUUCAAGAGGAUGGACGAUUUUGUGGCCAUUCAUAAAGUCAGCACCAAUGCCCUGCUAAGGGAAUAUGCUGACUCACUGAAGGAAAGGAGGAAGCAGAAGAGACAUCAGGUGGAAACUGAGAAAUGGAAACACAGAAGCCAAAGGAAACGGGGAGUGUACGUGGCACCAAGGAAGAAGGCAUUUACCUUUCAGACAACAAAGGUAAAUUAA
Molecule: long non-coding RNA, 1323 nt
Filed under: Gadus morhua (Atlantic cod)
Lineage: Eukaryota; Metazoa; Chordata; Actinopteri; Gadiformes; Gadidae
Description: lncRNA (ENSGMOG00000023815.1)
Source: RNAcentral